Molecule: ribosomal RNA, 232 nt
Filed under: uncultured bacterium
Lineage: Bacteria
Also listed under: 1 other name
Description: partial 16S ribosomal RNA
Rfam family: Bacterial small subunit ribosomal RNA
Source: RNAcentral
CGGACGGGUGAGUAAUGCUUGGGAAUCUAGCUUAUGGAGGGGGAUAACUACGGGAAACUGUAGCUAAUACCGCGUAAUAUCGAAAGAUUAAAGUGUGGGACCUUCGGGCCACAUGCCAUAGGAUGAGCCCAAGUGGGAUUAGGUAGUUGGUGAGGUAAAGGCUCACCAAGCCGACGAUCUCUAGCUGGUCUGAGAGGAUGACCAGCCACACUGGGACUGAGACACGGCCCAG